AGCAGCCGCGGUAAUUCCAGCUCCAAUAGCGUAUAUUAAAGUUGUUGCAGUUAAAAAGCUCGUAGUUGAAUUCGGGAUUAGUACGUUGGUCGUGCCUUAGGUACGUACUGGUGUUACUGGUUCUUACCUUCUGACGAACCAUCAUGUCAUUAAUUUGGUGUGGCGGGGAAUCAGGACUGUUACUUUGAAAAGAUUAGAGUGUUUAAAGCAGGCUCGCGCUUGAAUACAUUAGCAUGGAAUAAUGAAAUAGGACGUUGACCCUAUUUUGUUGGUUUCUAGGAUUGACGUAAUGAUUAAUAGGGAUAGUUGGGGGCAUUAGUAUUCAAUUGUCAGAGGUGAAAUUCUUGGAUUUAUUGAAGACUAACUACUGCGAAAGCAUUUGCCAAGGAUGUUUUCAUUAAUCAAGAACGAAAGUUAGGGGAUCGAAGACGAUCAGAUACCGUCGUAGUCUUAACCAUAAACUAUGCCGACUAGGGAUCGGAUGAUGUUAUUUUUAAUGACUCAUUCGGCGCCUUACG
Molecule: ribosomal RNA, 518 nt
Filed under: uncultured Glomeraceae
Lineage: Eukaryota; Fungi; Glomeromycota; Glomeromycetes; Glomerales; Glomeraceae
Description: SSU rRNA
Rfam family: Eukaryotic small subunit ribosomal RNA
Source: RNAcentral